UAACAUGUAUAUAUAAAUAAAAAGAUGUGGUCUGAUUGUCAUAUAUGUAUAUGUAUAUAUUUAUUAAAAUCACUACAAUCUACAUUCCAACUGUAAAAAUAAAACAGCCAUAUAAUUUAAUAUAGAUAGUAAAAUAAAGAUGAAAUAUAAACUGAAGACUUUAAAAUAAAUGCAUACAAAUACAUGUAUAUCAAAUGUACAAAUUAUAGUUUCUUUUGGAAAAUUCUUUUUAAUAAAUAAUGUGUUUUACAUGGUAAUCUUUUUAUCAUUACAAUACGAUAGAUAUUUGUUUGUAGAAGAACUGCUUCAAGAUUCCACAUUAAAUAUAUAAAUAAUGCCCUUUUUCAAAUCAAUUCAGAUUUCAACAGAUCUCUAGAGUUGAUAAGAUAAGCUAUGUUUUCUAAAAUUGAGAAUGGAAAUGGAGAAUGUAUCAAAGCGACAACAAUCUGACCAUAGAGCAAACAACAGCGCCCAUUCUAGUCUGUUUAUGAACCAGGGAAUAAGACAAAGUGCAAAUGAAGAAAAAAUUCAAGAACCCACAAAAAAGUAUGACUUACCUGCUAAUGUCAGCAGCCUAGAAAUUCCCUGAGGUAGCAUAGGUAAUGUUUCAUGCAGUUACUUUUUACCAACUUAUUUUUGCAGAAACUUUAUUUUACAUUUUGCCCUUUCCAACCUUCUUUGAAGUGUUUAAUUUUGCCAUUUUAUAGUUUGCUUGAUAUUUACAAAUAAGAAAGAUAAAAUUUUACAUAUUCUCAAUGAUUUAUAUUCUCUGUCUUUUUCAUAUUUCAGUUUGUUUACAUUUACAUUUUGAUUACAUGUUAUAUACUGUAUGUGUUGAAGGAUAAUAUGGAAUGUGAAAUUUAAACUUUCUGCUAGGUACUUA
RNAcentral lists this long non-coding RNA (883 nucleotides) under Mytilus galloprovincialis (Mediterranean mussel). Lineage: Eukaryota; Metazoa; Mollusca; Bivalvia; Mytilida; Mytilidae. The record is from RNAcentral.